UUGAAGUUGAAAAUAAAGGACCCGUGAUGGGUGGCAGACUCCAGUUUUUAGGGGAGGUGCUACCGAAAUUUUUCUAAGGAUUUGGAGUUGAUUUGGUUAAGAUUUCAAAAACGGAUGUUUUGAGGGAUUUCAAAGAAAAUUGGAUUUCUAUGAUUUGAUUGAUUUAUGAUUUUAACUUACUCGAUUUUUCAUAAUACC
This is a non-coding RNA of Arachis ipaensis, 198 nucleotides long. NCBI's taxonomy places the organism in Eukaryota, Viridiplantae, Streptophyta, Magnoliopsida, Fabales, Fabaceae. The record is from RefSeq and is a predicted model, not a curated record.